Molecule: transfer RNA, 69 nt
Filed under: Marmota monax (woodchuck)
Lineage: Eukaryota; Metazoa; Chordata; Mammalia; Rodentia; Sciuridae
Description: tRNA.Val
Source: RNAcentral
GGGGCAUAGCUCAGUGGUAGAGCACUCGCCUAACAUGUGUGAGGCCUUGGGUUUUAGUCCCCAGAACCA